UACGGAGGGGGCUAGCGUUGUUCGGAAUUACUGGGCGUAAAGCGCACGUAGGCGGCUUUGCAAGUCAGAGGUGAAAGCCCGGGGCUCAACCCCGGAAUAGCCUUUGAGACUGCAUCGCUAGAAUUGUGGAGAGGUAAGUGGAAUUCCGAGUGUAGAGGUGAAAUUCGUAGAUAUUCGGAAGAACACCAGUGGCGAAGGCGACACGCUGGGCCGUACCUGACACUGAUGCGCGACAGCAUGGGGAGCAAACAGG
This 253-nucleotide ribosomal RNA is filed under the name uncultured bacterium. RNAcentral describes it as "partial 16S ribosomal RNA". It matches the Rfam family "Bacterial small subunit ribosomal RNA", at positions 524 to 776 of the family's 1533-position model. The record is from RNAcentral.